CCUGGCAUAUUUUUCACUCUUCUACUGGACCAGAAAACUGUGUUUCAAAGCUGCAGAAUUACACUGAUCAGAUGCAGUUUUAAAGAUGCUGACAUCUUUUCAGCAGCCCUCUUCAGCCUGCUCAACUGCCAGCCUCCUCACUAAGUUCACUGGGGUCCCAGGAGGAAAUCAGUCUCAUUAAGAAUGCUGCCUCUGAUAAUUUGAUGCCAAGGUAAGAGACUUCUUUGAACAUAACCCAGGACGGUACACCCGCCCGGGAGCGAAAGCGCUAGCUCUGAGAUGGACCGGCAAGUGGAGGCGGCCACAAGGGACCAAGCUGACAGCUUCGCGGAGCGUUUGCGGCGAGUGUGGGACCCGGACACGCAACCGCCAUGGCUAGAGGGUGCGGUCUGAACCCAUCAAGGCUCAUUGGGUUCCUUUGGAAGAUGCUCUCUGCUGCGGGAGCCUCCUUUCACAGGAGAGGGUGCGUGAGCGCGCGCGCGCGCACACACACACGCGCGCACACACACACACACACACACACACCACGCACACACGUCCUUCCCCUGGAGUUGUGUCUCGUCUCCCUUUUGUUUUUCUCCCUUCCCAGUCAUGAGACCCGGAAGUUUUUUUUUUCGUUUUUUUUUAAUCCCGUCUCUCUCCCUUUUCUAACCGCCCCCCCCCAAUCUAUCACAUGGCAGAUAGAAUAAAAACAGAAAAAUGGCGACGGUCACGUUGUGGCGAGCUUUGCUGCGUCAUUAGAUAAUCCUCAUGCAAAUAGCGGGAAGAACAAAGGAAGGGGGGCUCGGGACCCCGGGGGGCGCAGGGUGCUGGCGUGGGUCCCUCGCGGUCCGGCGGCGACUGUAAAUAGAGCCUGGAUGUUGUUUACAUGAAGGAUCCGGCGGGAGGAGUCUGCGAGGAGGAGGCGGAGGAGGAGGGAGGGAGGAGAGAGGAAGACCGGAGUCCCCGCGGCGACGGCGGUCAGGGGUAAGGGUGAACCCCGCGCGGCGUCCGGGGACGGGGCGCUACCACGAGGCCACAGCGCUGGACCCUGGGCUACCCGCACACCAGCAGCCACCUUUUUGGAGAAGGACCACACCUGUGCUUAUUCCGGCUUUGGAGGAGAGAAGUAGGAGUAGAAGCUCUGAGAACGGUGGACUCUGCAGAAAAGAGAGGUGUAGAUGUGUUUCUGGAACAGCCCACAGCUCAAGAAUUGGAGCAUCACCACUUGCUGAGCUGUGACCCCCACUUUUUCUUCUUCCCUACAUCUCGAACCAGAAGGGAAUCUUUUAGUCUUCCACUUCAUGGGGAGCCUAUGGAGGAAGUCAUGCAAUCACCUGGAAAAGAUGCCACCAGCCAACACAGUGACUGACAGGCUGCCCUGGCUCAGUUAUCACAGUGCUGAUGCUGUCCAUUCUAAAGGUACAGUACUGUGAUAACUGAAGGAUGGCAGCCAUCUUGCCUUCUAUCCGAGGAGUCCCAUCAUGCCCAGGGAAGAAGACAGAAGAAGAAAGACGCGUGUGAAACAGGUGCGGGGACCCAGAAACUCUCUUACGCUGUUCCUUUAUUGUACCUUCCCUAGGGCAUACAGCAUGUUAUUCAAUCUGUCUUUGCCUUAUUUUGAACAUGGGGAUAAAGAGGAGUUGGGUCGUUGUUUGCAAAGCAGUGUGAAGACUUGUACCAAGUGGAUAUAUAUUAAGAUCUUUGAAACUUCCAAGAGUCUGAUAUUAGAUAAGUACUAAGUGUGAAUUAGCAUUUUAGGAGUGGUAUUCAGAGAAAUUUGCCAUUUUUAUAAGUGUAAGAGGUAACCUGAUUAGAAUAACUUGGCACUUACAGUAUUAGAUAGUCAAAAUGAAAUUCAACUUAAAUGGGGAGAAAAAAGCUCUACGUGUUGAACAGUAUUGAUAUAAUUGCAUGAAUAAAAUUAUGUCUUUGUGUUUGAAGAAUGGAGAGGGACAUGGCAUGUUUCUUUCAGGAACAUAAAUACUUGAAAUCUAGUCUAAUUCUAAAAAUAUUUGUUGAAUGCCCAUGUUAUUGCUGUUGGUGUCACCUUUACAUGAAAAUCAGAUGCAAAUAAUUUUUAUCAACUAAUUAAAGACCACCCUGCAGUGACAGAACAAAUUAAUUUUAGGGGUAUGAAGCUAUAAAUACCAAGCCAACAGAAGGUUUACAUAAAAGACUAGGAAAUUUUGUAAAGCACUCAUCUUCAACCUGCAUCCUACUCUAGAGAGUAUUGUUAGGGUGGGCUUAUUAGAGAAGCCAGAGUUUCCUCCAUCCCUCCUUCCUCAAGACUCCUAAGGAAGCUGUACACAUGGAACAGCAGCAGACAAGAAGCAAAGUACACACCCUCAUUAUGUGUUAGAUCACAGUCUGCUGCAAGGCUCAGGAAAUGUCAUGGAGUUUAGGCUCAAUGCCUAAACAGGGACAUCUUACCUUUUCCUAGGCUCAUGUCUGUAUCUGGGAACUGUAUCAUUCCUGUCUGUAACUGGAUGGCUAGCUGGUGAAGAACCUAAAGCAGUAACCCAUAUGCUUGGGCAAAAAGAGAAUAAAGCCUGUUAGGGUCAGACUCUACUUGGACCUGCCUACUACUACAGGGCGAGAAGAACCAGUGUGAAGGAAAACCACAUUUGUGAUCUGAACGAACAGAGUCCGAACCCACUAGUCAGCACAGCCCAGUCAGUCUUAGACUUGGGCCAUUUGUAUUUUCAUGUCCUUCACUGGAACGGAGUAAGAAAAAAAGGGAACUGGAAGUGGGUGAAUAGGCAAAAGCCUUGCCUCCCUGUCCAGAGAGGUUCAGUUUCACCCUUCACUGUCCUCAGGCAUUCCUGGUCGUUCCUUUGCUGGUUCACACAAUUCUCUUUCACCUCUCCUUUCCGCUUUUCCACCUGAAGAAGUAACCCCUUGAGCCACACCUGCUUGGUCCUGAAUUGUUGUUUUGCAUAUAGCAUUGACCACAUUAUGGCCCAGUACCUUCACAUGUCCUCAUGUAUUCACAAUUGUUCUACACUGCAGGCGAGACAGUGUUUUUGAUUAAUAAUUGGGAGCGAUGGCUCUGCUCAGUUGUGUAUUAUACUACCAGCCCUGAAAUUCCUUGGAGUGUUCUGCUCCCAUGAACAGAAAAGGAAUUUCUGACAGAAACUCUGGAAGAACUUCUAAGAAAGGAAAGUUCUGGGAUUGGUGAAUUCUCAAGUAACUUGAAAUACUCCUAAUUUUUAGUAGUAUAGCAGGUGGAAAAAAGUGCUUCAGGGACUGAGGUGUUAUGCAAUCGUUGGCGUUGCUGAGGAUUUCACCACCUUGCCUGAUCUUCCUGUUUUCCCGUUACUGGUUCUAUAAAAAUUCAGGUUUUAUACUUACCCAACCUUGACCCCGGGAUUCACACCCAAGUCUUGGGUGUUGCAGAGCUGAGUGUUGGGUGUAUUUUGGAAUCACCCCUGUAUUUCUACAGAUGGAGCUAUACUGGGCCCCACUUCCUGUCAACAGGGAAGCCUGAGGCUGGGUCUGCAGCAGUAUUGCCGGGAGGCUUGCACAGGCCUGGAGGCCCUUGGCAUCUUCCAGGCAGUUCAUAGAUGUAAGGUGUUCCAACAGGUUAAGUGAGAAACGAUGCAAGAGAAAUUGGAUGGGGUUUUUCCACUAGGAUUAAAACACACAAAGUGUAUUGGUUGGUGUACUCAUUGUGGUCUUUGGUUUAGGUAUGAGAAAGGGAAGGAUGGAAUUAAGUAUAGAAAUACCACAUGAUCCAGCAAUUCCAUUUCUGGUUUAAUACCCAAAUGAAGGGACUCAGACAGAUGAUAUACCCGUGUUCACAGCAGUAUUAUUCACAAUAGCCAAAAAAUAAGAAGCAACCCAAAUGUCUGUCAGAUGAAUGGACAAACAAAGGUAUAUACCUAACAAUGAAAUACUGUUCAGCUUUAAAAAGGAAGAAAAUACUGACAUGUGCUAUAACAUGGAUGAACCUUGAUGAUAUAUGCAGAGUGAAGUAAGCUGGACACAAAAGGACAAAUACUGUGUGUCUCCAAUUACAUGAGGUACCUAGAGUAGUCAAAUUCAUAGAGACAGAAAAUGGAAUGGUGGUUUCCUGGGGCUGGAGGAAGGGGAAAAUGGGAAGUUCGUGUUCAACGGGUACAAAAUUGAUUGAGGAUGAUGAAAAAUUCUGGAGAUGGAGUCAUAACAAUGGGAAUGUACUUAACGCCACAGAACUGUACACUUAAAAAUGGUUAUAAUAGUACAUUUUGUGUCUAUUUUCCCACAGAAAAAGCAUCAGGGUCAUAGCAUCAUUACAGCCAGCUACAAGAUUGAUUGCUCACUUUCUUAGGCUUCAGGAUGGAAGAUAACUGCUGUGUCAAGUGAGCAAUUAAAAUGUACUUCCCAGGAGUGGAAUUGCUGGGUCAUAUGCUGGUUCUGUUUUUAAUUUUUUGAGGAACUUCCAUAUCAGCUGCACCAAUAGCGGCUGCACCAAUCUGCAAUCCCACCAACGAUGCAUGAGGGUUCC
Rhinolophus ferrumequinum (greater horseshoe bat) is the source of this 4468-nucleotide RNA transcript. RefSeq lists it as uncharacterized. The record is from RefSeq and is a predicted model, not a curated record. The transcript is spliced from 7 exons. NCBI's taxonomy places the organism in Eukaryota, Metazoa, Chordata, Mammalia, Chiroptera, Rhinolophidae.